Molecule: long non-coding RNA, 764 nt
Organism: Piliocolobus tephrosceles (Ugandan red Colobus)
Lineage: Eukaryota; Metazoa; Chordata; Mammalia; Primates; Cercopithecidae
Source: Ensembl
CUCAACACUUGUUAUAAAAAAAAAAAAAUUAUAAUUUAAUAAAAAAAAAAAAAAAUAACGACGUGCAUAAAAGUAAAAUCGUAACAAAAUACUGUUAUGUUAUAUGCAUAUAUAUAUAUAUAUAUAUUUAUCAUACCUUAAUUUUUUACGAAACAAUUAUAAAAUAAAAAAUUACAAAAACACUAAGAGAAAAUUAUUGUUAAUGUAUUUUUUUUUUUUAUUUUAAAAGUAAAAAUAUUUUUAAUAAAAAAUUAAGGAUAUUAGCAAUAUUACUACAAGUUGUAUAUAUAAAUAUACGUAUACAUAUGUAUGUAAAUAUGUAUAAAUCUAUGUAAAUAAAAACAGAAACACAAUGAAGUAUUCCCAUUUUAAGAGCUCUUUAAGGUUUGCGAGUAAGCUUUACCAAAACAACAACUACAAGCUAUAUUUAAAUAGCGUACCACAGUUUUCCACCUAUGCAUAUGGGAAAUUUGUAAAAACAAACCCGUUAACAAAUAGACUUGACCAUUUAUCAUCAAAAAACACAAGUUUGAUCAGUAUACUGAGUAUAAAUGGGUUAGAUGAAUUGAUCACUCAAUCGUCGAAAAUUGAAUCGGUUUCAAUUGCUGACUGGUUAUUGAACCUUGUGGAAGAAUAUCAAUCAAAGGAAAGAUGCGUAUAUAAUGUUAGUACAUAACUGCACGCGCAACUACAUGACACUCACACACACACACACACACACCUAUAUAUAUAUAUAUAUAUAUGUUCAUGUUUUUAUGUUGCGG